Molecule: ribosomal RNA, 396 nt
Filed under: uncultured bacterium
Lineage: Bacteria
Description: bacterial SSU rRNA
Rfam family: Bacterial small subunit ribosomal RNA
Source: RNAcentral
AUAUUGCACAAUGGGGGAAACCCUGAUGCAGCGACGCCGCGUGAGCGAAGAAGUAUCUCGGUAUGUAAAGCUCUAUCAGCAGGGGAGAAAAUGACGGUACCUGACUAAGAAGCACCGGCUAAAUUCGUGCCAGCAGCCGCGGUAAUACGUAUGGUUCAAGCGUUAUCCGGAUUUACUGGGUGUAAAGGGAGCGUAGACGGCUGUGCAAGUCUGGAGUGAAAGCCCGGGGCUCAACCCCGGGACUGCUUUGGAAACUGUACGGCUGGAGUGCUGGAGAGGCAAGCGGAAUUCCUAGUGUAGCGGUGAAAUGCGUAGAUAUUAGGAGGAACACCAGUGGCGAAGGCGGCUUGCUGGACAGUAACUGACGUUGAGGCUCGAAAGCGUGGGGAGCAAACA